This is a long non-coding RNA of Eriocheir sinensis (Chinese mitten crab), 577 nucleotides long. RefSeq lists it as uncharacterized. The transcript is spliced from 5 exons. The record is from RefSeq and is a predicted model, not a curated record. Lineage: Eukaryota; Metazoa; Arthropoda; Malacostraca; Decapoda; Varunidae.
GUAUGACGUCAAGUUCUCUCCGUGCACCAGGAGGUAGGAGAACGCCACUCUGCUUUCUGACUUCCCAAAUCCACGAGGACGUGAUUCUGCAGUUUCGUUGUUCCCCCGGGAGCACCGCAUCGCCUGGAGGACGCUGGCUAUUACCUCAGAACAGAGCUGCGGGAUGACCGUCUCCGGAGACAGGAAGGCGCUGGGCUCUGCGUCUGAGGGCCACGAAUUUCUAGAGGAUGGAAAAGUGUCCAUGAAAACUUAGCUGCUGUAGCUGUUAGAGCCCUGCGUGACGCCCUUCAUACUCUGGCGGUAACAGGCUGGGGCAGAGGCGUAGUCGGGGGUCACGAGUAAGCCGCGGAGCCACACCAUUACGGUACGGCGUGAUGGCCUGAACCCCCGCUGCGUCCUUAAUGUGACCCUCCACCCACCACCGUCACCACCAUUACCACCACCAUCACCACCAACGUCAUCUACCAGGGCUCAACCAACCAUUUCCGCGACACUCACCAUCACUGCCUAAAAUGAAGAAAGGAGAGACGGCAGUUCACUCCCUAGGCUCCACGCUGACGUGCCCCACGUGCUGGCU